UACGUAGGGUGCAAGCGUUGUCCGGAAUUAUUGGGCGUAAAGAGCUCGUAGGCGGUCUGUUGCGUCUGCUGUGAAAACCCGGGGCUCAACUCCGGGCCUGCAGCCGAUACGGGCAGACUAGAGUUCGGCAGGGGAGACUGGAAUUCCUGGUGUAGCGGUGAAAUGCGCAGAUAUCAGGAGGAACACCGGUGGCGAAGGCGGGUCUCUGGGCCGAUACUGACGCUGAGGAGCGAAAGCGUGGGGAGCGAACAGG
This 253-nucleotide ribosomal RNA is filed under the name uncultured bacterium. Its description in RNAcentral is "partial 16S ribosomal RNA". It matches the Rfam family "Bacterial small subunit ribosomal RNA", at positions 524 to 776 of the family's 1533-position model. The record is from RNAcentral.